RNAcentral lists this transfer RNA (69 nucleotides) under Priolepis cincta (girdled goby). RNAcentral describes it as "tRNA-Val". It matches the Rfam family "tRNA". From Rfam's summary of the family: Transfer RNA (tRNA) molecules are approximately 80 nucleotides in length. Their secondary structure includes four short double-helical elements and three loops (D, anti-codon, and T loops). Further hydrogen bonds mediate the characteristic L-shaped molecular structure. tRNAs have two regions of fundamental functional importance: the anti-codon, which is responsible for specific mRNA codon recognition, and the 3' end, to which the tRNAs corresponding amino acid is attached (by aminoacyl-tRNA synthetases). tRNAs cope with the degeneracy of the genetic code in two manners: having more than one tRNA (with a specific anti-codon) for a particular amino acid; and 'wobble' base-pairing, i.e. permitting non-standard base-pairing at the 3rd anti-codon position. Lineage: Eukaryota; Metazoa; Chordata; Actinopteri; Gobiiformes; Gobiidae. The record is from RNAcentral.
CAGAGCGUAGCUAAAUUAUAGCAUUUCCCUUACACCGAAAAGAUGCUCGUUAAAGCCGAGUCGCUUUGA